RNAcentral lists this long non-coding RNA (267 nucleotides) under Vigna radiata. RNAcentral's name for it is "long non-coding RNA (VRAD_LNC017249)". The record is from RNAcentral. Lineage: Eukaryota; Viridiplantae; Streptophyta; Magnoliopsida; Fabales; Fabaceae.
CUAACUUGAAAUGAUUAGAUAUAAUUCUUUUUAUUGAACAACAUUAAAUUUUUUCCGACGUGUCAAACAAGAUUCCACUGUGACACAUGCAUUAUUUAUACAGUUUUGUACAUAUGACAACUUUCUUCUUACUCUCCAUUACACAUAGAAACAAGAGCUACCUUCACUUCCAUAUCUCACAUAUCAUUCAUAUCUAUUUCUCCAAUCAUCAUCUUCACUACCAUUCACCUUCUCCAUUUUCCCCUUCUUCACCAUUCUCAAAUUUGC